This 405-nucleotide ribosomal RNA is filed under the name uncultured Alcaligenaceae bacterium. RNAcentral's name for it is "bacterial SSU rRNA". It matches the Rfam family "Bacterial small subunit ribosomal RNA", at positions 509 to 914 of the family's 1533-position model. The record is from RNAcentral. Lineage: Bacteria; Pseudomonadati; Pseudomonadota; Betaproteobacteria; Burkholderiales; Alcaligenaceae.
CAGCAGCCGCGGUAAUACGUAGGGUGCAAGCGUUAAUCGGAAUUACUGGGCGUAAAGCGUGCGCAGGCGGUUCGGAAAGAAAGGUGUGAAAUCCCAGGGCUUAACCUUGGAACUGCAUUUUUAACUACCGGGCUAGAGUACGUCAGAGGGGGGUAGAAUUCCACGUGUAGCAGUGAAAUGCGUAGAGAUGUGGAGGAAUACCGAUGGCGAAGGCAGCCCCCUGGGAUGAUACUGACGCUCAUGCACGAAAGCGUGGGGAGCAAACAGGAUUAGAUACCCUGGUAGUCCACGCCCUAAACGAUGUCAACUAGCUGUUGGGGUUUAUUAACCUUAGUAGCGCAGCUAACGCGUGAAGUUGACCGCCUGGGGAGUACGGUCGCAAGAUUAAAACUCAAAGGAAUUGAC